UACAGUGGGUGCAAGCGUUAAUCGGAAUUACUGGGCGUAAAGCGCGCGUAGGUGGUUCGUUAAGUUGGAUGUGAAAUCCCCGGGCUCAACCUGGGAACUGCAUUCAAAACUGUCGAGCUAGAGUAUGGUAGAGGGUGGUGGAAUUUCCUGUGUAGCGGUGAAAUGCGUAGAUAUAGGAAGGAACACCAGUGGCGAAGGCGACCACCUGGACCUGUACUGACGCUCAUGCACGAAAGCGUGGGGAGCAAACAGG
This 253-nucleotide ribosomal RNA is filed under the name uncultured bacterium. Its description in RNAcentral is "partial 16S ribosomal RNA". It matches the Rfam family "Bacterial small subunit ribosomal RNA", at positions 524 to 776 of the family's 1533-position model. The record is from RNAcentral.